AUGGACACCAUCUCCCCACACCUGCAAGGGCACCUCACACUUGAACUAUCCCCCCACACGCUAAAAAGAAGGCCAGUCUCGAAUGCAAAAUUCCUCAGGGCUGAGUCCUUAUUUUCUUUCCUGUCUUCCUUCUGGCCCAGCGAGACCAGAUCUGUUACUGGGAACACAGAAUUGCAGUGGGAUAUGGAUUUGACACGAGGCAAAUACCUCCCCUUAGCAAAGGCAAAUAAAACAAAAGUUCAACGAGCCUCAAAGCCAGGGUGCAUAAAUGUCACUGAGCCUAGCAAGAGGGGCGAUCAGAGGACACUUGUGAAAUCGCGGUUCUCCCGGGGUGGUGGGGAAAGGUUACCAUGUUGCGUUCGUUCAUCUGCUCCUGCCUCUGCUCAGGGCGACUUGGAGACGGACCUCUGAUCUCCUGGUUCCACUUCAGUGGGCGCUCAGCACGGCGGCUGUCAUCUGCAGACACUGAAGAGGUAAGGCAUCGCUUUUGCUGAGAUAACUAUACCUGACCUUACAACAAUUUACUAAGGAAAUACCUGCUUAAUAGCAGUGUGAGUGCAGUUUCCUUUAUGCUCACGACGGCACUGCAAAUUAGCGACAACAGGAUAAAUCUAUGGCCAGCUCACUAGACACUUCAUUAAAUCACUGUUCUCUUGCCUUGUAGCGCGCUAAUAGAAUCACAGCCCUCGUUAGCUACUGAAUAAAAGAUCAAUCACAGACUUUGAAAGCUCUUGCUACCAGCUUCCAGAGGAAACAAGGAAGAAAAAAAAAAAGGAGAGUGAGCAAAAGUGAGAGAGAGAGAGAGAUAUUUAGGAUCAUCGCUGAGAUUCUGAAUGGCCUCGCUGCAAGUUGCUUAAAUUACCUUUUCCACGACUGACUCCAACUGCAAUACUCAGAGGAACUUGUUAAGCCGGCUUUCAAGAGCAGCACUCUAAUAUAUGACUGCUAGACCCUGGUCAAAAGUUCAUAAUGUGCAUAUGUAAAAAGGUACUAAAUUGCCUGAGGGCUAAAACCAGAGGAGUUUAAUUGUAGCAAAAUGCUGAAAAUGGUCUGUUGAGGGUCCUUCUAUUGGGAUACUGCUGGGUCUGGCUGAUUGAAGUACAGAACAUAAAAGCCUUGCAACAAUAUUUCCUUAAAUGCUGGGGAAACUGCCAGCAGUUGGUAUUGCAUGAAUGUUGUGGUUGAAGAAAAACAUUUUCCUCCCCUAAAAUAAAUAGAGUAUUAAGAACUGCUCCAGCCCAUAAUUCUAAAGCAUGACGGAAAAAGGGAGGGCUCAAUGAUAAUAAAUAAGGUAUAAUUCAUAGGGCAUGUCCAAUCUCCUCCAAGUGUAUUUUUACAUGGAGCGCAGUGAAGGUACUCAGGCAUGACCUGCAAGGAUUGGGGGGUGGGGGGUGCUGCGAAUGGCUCGGAUUUUGAAAACCGCUUUGCGCAGCUCCUGGCUGCCUCACCAGUCUCUGUGUUAGGCAUACCCAAGUGGGGAUCCUUGCAAAGAGCCGGCCCUGUUUGACGUGUCUUUAUUUCUUCUUUCACUAAAUCAGAUCUCGAGUUCCAGCUACACUCGCAUUUGGCUUGUGCGGAUGGGUUUCUCAACCCAGAAUUCCCUACCUUCCCCAGAUACCCUCCCACACCUUCCUGCUUUCCGGCUUUCCUAAUUAGUUCCUCAUUUGGAUGAGUGACAAUAUGAGCUCAGUGGAUGGCGACUCAGAUGCUAGGUGAGCCUGCGUUAAAUAUAGGACACCCAAGGGGAAGCUACAAUUUGCUAGGUGGGCUUUCUGAUUUAUAAGAAGUGUGUGUGAAAGGUACAAUUUUCGUUGAGCGUGAAAUACCCAUGUGCCAUUUUAAUCAGGUUUUAAAAAAUCUGUAUCAGACAUGGAGUUCCACACAUACGUUGUGGCCCCAAACUCACACAGUGUGGUUGGUCUGAGAGCCACCAACGCGGCACUAGGCAGGUGUGAAACGUGAGCCGUCUCACGGCUUACAUCUGUGCCUAGAAUUUGACAAAUGAGAUUAGCAAUAUCCAUAUCCUUACUGGUAUCUUUGAUCAGUAUUAUUUUCCAAGAAAAAUACUUUCCAAACUUGGAGGGAGAUGCAAGUGAUACUUCCCGAUAUAAAAGAACAGACUAAAAACGCAAAUAAAGCACCCAUUUAGUGUUGAACCCUGCAGUGCUCCAAGACUGCUCCGCCUCAUGGGCCCAACCCUCACAGGUCACCUGGAUUGGUUCAGGAUAUACUGUAUUUCAUACUUUAAAAGGGGUCAAAUCUACUCUAGAGUUCUUCAAAAGCAAAGACACA
This is a long non-coding RNA of Mustela putorius furo (domestic ferret), 2292 nucleotides long. The record is from Ensembl. Lineage: Eukaryota; Metazoa; Chordata; Mammalia; Carnivora; Mustelidae.